Non-coding RNA from Hydra vulgaris (swiftwater hydra), 574 nucleotides. NCBI's taxonomy places the organism in Eukaryota, Metazoa, Cnidaria, Hydrozoa, Anthoathecata, Hydridae. The record is from RefSeq and is a predicted model, not a curated record.
AUAAUAAGGUUAUUUAAAACAUUGAUUUAAUGGCAGACUUUAUGAAUUGGAAUGCAGAAUAUGUUGCCAUAGAAAUUUGUGAUAUAAAGUAAUGGAAAUUGUUGGUAUUUAUAAAAGGAAGAUUGUUUUGAAAAUAAUCUAGCUUGUAGUGCGAAUUUUUUAAAAAAAGUCUCUGAGGAGUGACGAAACUGUAACUUGCAACAAACUUUUUUCAGAGUUGAAAACAUGGUAAUUGAUUAUCAGAAAUGUAGUUGGUCUGCGUUAGCAAAAGAUUCAACAUCAAGCUGUCUUUGCAAAGUUGAUAUAAAAGAUAUUUAAAUUUCAAUAUCUUUGCUCUUCAACAUUGAUGAUUUUCCAAACGCAACUCUUGGCUUAUUGACGUUUGUUAUAUUACUUAUUUAAAUCAACAGAAUACUAAAUCUGAAAAAUGUUUUAUAUAUUACAGGUUGUGCACCAGGACAAAACUUUUUCAUUUUUAUUAGCUUAUAAGAAUUUUUUAUAUAUAGAGGUAUUUAGUAAAUAAAAUUUGAAAUAAUUAUGAGAAAAUUCAAACAAGACAUACUUGUUAAGAGGU